UUAAAUGGCCGCGGUAUUUUGACCGUGCUAAGGUAGCAUAAUCAUUAGUUUUUUAAUUGAAAGCUGGAAUGAAGGGUUGGAUGAAAAAAUUACUGUCUCAUUAUAAUUUUAUUAGAAUUUUAUUUUUAAGUUAAAAAGCUUAAAUUAAUUUAAAAGACGAGAAGACCCUAUAGAGUUUUAUUUAUAUUUAAACAAUAAAAUUUAGUAAUUAAUAUUUUAUUUUUUAAAAAUAAAUUUGAUUGGGGUGAUUGAAAAAUUUAAUAAACUUUUUUUAUUUUUUAAUAUUAAUUUAUAUGUAUUUGAUCCAUUUUUAAUGAUUAUAAGAAAAAAUUACCUUAGGGAUAACAGCGUAAUUUUAUUUUAGAGUU
RNAcentral lists this ribosomal RNA (368 nucleotides) under Arrhenocoela lineata. Its description in RNAcentral is "partial 16S ribosomal RNA". The record is from RNAcentral. Lineage: Eukaryota; Metazoa; Arthropoda; Insecta; Coleoptera; Chrysomelidae.